RNAcentral lists this ribosomal RNA (467 nucleotides) under uncultured bacterium. RNAcentral describes it as "partial 16S ribosomal RNA". It matches the Rfam family "Bacterial small subunit ribosomal RNA", at positions 29 to 507 of the family's 1533-position model. The record is from RNAcentral.
ACGAACGCUGGCGGCGUGCUUAACACAUGCAAGUCGAACGGAAAGGCCCUGCUUUUGUGGGGUGCUCGAGUGGCGAACGGGUGAGUAACACGUGAGUAACCUGCCCUUGACUUUGGGAUAACUUCAGGAAACUGGGGCUAAUACCGGAUAGGAGCUCCUGCUGCAUGGUGGGGGUUGGAAAGUUUCGGCGGUUGGGGAUGGACUCGCGGCUUAUUAGCUUGUUGGUGGGGUAGUGACUUACCAAGGCUUUGACGGGUAGCCGGCCUGAGAGGGUGACCGGCCACAUUGGGACUGAGAUACGGCCCAGACUCCUACGGGAGGCAGCAGUGGGGAAUAUUGCACAAUGGGCGGAAGCCUGAUGCAGCAACGCCGCGUGCGGGAUGACGGCCUUCGGGUUGUAAACCGCUUUCGCCUGUGACGAAGCGUGAGUGACGGUAAUGGGUAAAGAAGCACCGGCUAACUACGUG